CCCUCAGAUGUUCUGGGCCGCACGCGCGCUACACUGACGAAUGCAACGAGCUUAUAACCUUGGCCGAAAGGUCUGGGUAAUCUCCAAAUUUCGUCGUGAUGGGGAUAGAUUAUUGCGAUUAUUAAUCUUCAACGAGGAAUGCCUAGUAAGCGCAAGUCAUCAGCUUGCGUUGAUUACGUCCCUGCCCUUUGUACACACCGCCCGUCGCUCCUACCGAUUGAAUGGUCCGGUGAAGCGUUCGGACCGUGGCCUUUGGACGGUUCGCCGUCUGUUGGCUGCGGGAAGUUCGUUAAACCUUAUCAUUUAGAGGAAGGAGAAGUCGUAACA
This 327-nucleotide ribosomal RNA is filed under the name uncultured eukaryote. RNAcentral's name for it is "partial 18S ribosomal RNA". It matches the Rfam family "Eukaryotic small subunit ribosomal RNA", at positions 1470 to 1796 of the family's 1831-position model. The record is from RNAcentral.